AUACGUAGGGGACAAGCGUUGUCCGGAAUGACUGGGCGUAAAGGGCGCGUAGGCGGUCUAUUAAGUCUGAUGUGAAAGGUACCGGCUCAACCGGUGAAGUGCAUUGGAAACUGGUAGACUUGAGUAUUGGAGAGGCAAGUGGAAUUCCUAGUGUAGCGGUGAAAUGCGUAGAUAUUAGGAGGAACACCGGUGGCGAAGGCGGCUUGCUGGACAAAUACUGACGCGGAGGUGCGAAAGCGGGGGGAGCGAACAGGAUUAGAUACCCUGGUAGUCCACGCCGUAAACGAUGAAUGCUAGGUGUUGGGGAAACUCAGUGCCGCAGUUAACACAAUAAGCAUUCCGCCUGGGGAGUACGACCGCAAGGUUGAAACUCAAAUGAAUUGACGGGG
Molecule: ribosomal RNA, 389 nt
Filed under: uncultured bacterium
Lineage: Bacteria
Description: partial 16S ribosomal RNA
Rfam family: Bacterial small subunit ribosomal RNA
Source: RNAcentral